This 3321-nucleotide long non-coding RNA is filed under the name Oncorhynchus kisutch (coho salmon). RNAcentral's name for it is "lncRNA (ENSOKIG00005019033.1)". Lineage: Eukaryota; Metazoa; Chordata; Actinopteri; Salmoniformes; Salmonidae. The record is from RNAcentral.
CUUUAAAUUGGUUAUUCUCACGUUAUGUGUUUGUGAUGAAAGGAGAAAUUAAGACAAACUAAUGUUUAGCAAAUUAACUUUACGACUAAAAACAGGAAGUGAUCAGGGUACUGUGAAACAGGAAGUUGGACUCCAUACAAUGGACGAGACGCUGCCCCGACUACGUUGCAGACGCAUGCCAGCUCUUACAACGCCUGGAUAGGAGCGUUCCAGGCUGGAGGGGGGAGACAGAAAGACUGUUUCUAUCACUGCAGGAGUGUUCCAGGCUGGAGGGAGGAGGGGGGAGACAGAAAGACUGUUUCUAUCACUGCAGGAGCGUUCCAGGCUGGAGGUGGGGGGGAGAGACAGAAAGACUGUUUCUAUCACUGCAGGAGUAUUCCAGGCUGGAGGUGGGGGGGAAGGGGAGACAGAAAGACUGUUUCUAUCACUGCAGGAGCGUUCCAGGCUGGAGGUGGGGGGGAGAAAGACUGUUUCUAUCACUGCAGGAGUGUUCCAGGCUGGAGGUGGGGGGAGAAAGACUGUUUCUAUCACUGCAGGAGCGUUCCAGGCUGGAGGUGGGGGGGAAGGAGAGACAGAAAGACUGUUUCUAUCACUGCAGGAGCGUUCCAGGCUGGAGGUGGGGGGGAGAAAGACUGUUUCUAUCACUGCAGGAGUGUUCCAGGCUGGAGGGGGAGACAGAAAGACCGUUUCUAUCACUGCAGGAGUGUUCCAGGCUGGAGGGGGAGAGAGAAAGACUGUUUCUAUCACUGCAGGAGUGUUCUAGGCUGGAGGGGGAGAGAGAAAGACUGUUUCUAUCACUGCAGGAGUGUUCUAGGCUGGAGGGGGAGAGAGAAAGACUGUUUCUAUCACUGCAGGAGUGUUCUAGGCUGGAGGUGGGGGGGAGAAAGACUGUUUCUAUCACUGCAGGAGUGUUCCAUGCUGGAGGGGGGAGGGAGGAGGGGGGAGGGAGAAAGACUGAGUAAAUAAGAAUAGUUUACAGUGGAUUAAACACAAAAUUAGGUCAUUUCUAUAAAUUAUAAUCUGUUAUUUACCUACAAUAAUCCUGGAUUCAAGUAAAACUGGCUUUGACUCUAUUUACUAGGGAUGGGCGUGAGUAGUCGAUUCAAGAUUAACAUUCGAUUUCUUAUAUACAAGCUCUCAAAAUGUACGUUUAGUUAUUAAGCAGGUUCAAAUUAUAAGCACGGAGAAAUCUGAUGUGUUUAUGUGGAGAAGGAAGGUCAAGAGCUGUGAAAAUAUGACAGUGGUUGGAACAUCGGAUCAUUUUAGUUGUUGUUGCCUUCAGAACCCCUUUUCACAUUGUUGAGUACUCUAAAUUAUUUUCAUGAGUACUCACACAGACAUUCUUUCAAAUGUAUAUACUUACUAUUUACUACCGAGGUAUGUGACUGAUGCAGUAUAUUGAAAACAAAAAAAAAACACACAUUAUUUAUGUACAUGUAAUUAAAUAAUUAUUCAUGUGCAUGUGAUUAAUUUAUUUAUAUAUUUGCAAAUGCAUUGAAAAGUUUAUAGUGAUGGCAGACAAAGGCAACAGAUGUAUAUUGCUGCAUUGAGACUGAAAUGUUUCUGACCGAGGGGAUGAACACUAUUAUUUAUUGUGCUUCGGGUUAUUAGAUGUUUUGUAUUUAAAAAAAGGACAGGUGACUCCUUCCGUUUCUCAGAAGCUGAAGAUUAUUGUGAUGCAGGGGGGAAGAUAUCGACUUGGGCAAAGAGUUCAGCAGGAAACGUCAUCCUGACCAGAGAGGAGUUUGACCUGAGGACAGCUGCUCAGUGUGUGAAGAGACAGGAGAAGUUUAUUUAUUUAAAUUAUUUAUUUAAUCUUUAUUUAACGAGGCGAGUCAGUUAAGAACAAAUUAUUAUUUUCAAUGACGGCCUAGGAACAGUGGGUUAUAACUGCCUGUUCAGGGGCAGAACGACAGAUUUGUACCUUGUCAGCUCGGGGGUUUGAACUUGCAACCUUUACUAAUCCAACACUCUAACCACUAGGCUACCCUGCCACCUCUACACUCUAACCACUAGGCUACCCUGCCACCUCUACACUCUAACCACUAGGCUACCCUGCCGCCUCUACACUCUAACCACUAGGCUACCCUGCCACCUCUACACUCUAACCACUAGGCUACCCUGCCGCCUCUACACUCUAACCACUAGGCUACCCUGCCGCCUCUACACUCUAACCACUAGGCUACCCUGCCGCCUCUACACUCUAACCACUAGGCUACCCUGCCACCUCUACACUCUAACCACUAGGCUACCCUGCCGCCUCUACACUCUAACCACUAGGCUACCCUGCCGCCUCUACACUCUAACCACUAGGCUACCCUGCAGGGAGACACUCCAGGCUGGUGGAAAAUAAUCUUCCUGUACUGUUACACUGCUGAGAUGGUUCAACAGGACAUGGUGCUCAGUGUGUCUCUGUGUCCCCCAGGACCCCACACUCUCCUGGUCAUACAAGUGGAUGAAUCAUUCACGAAGAUACUCUUUCUCUAUUGAUGUUCUGUGUAAGAGAGUCUGGAGUCACUUGUGGGGAUUGUCGGGGAAACAAACCACUGAGCAGCACAUUGAGAAUGAAGGGAAUGCCCUCCAGUGAAUUGUUGAGAAAUGUGAGAACAGGUAUCAUGUCUUCAACAAUAGGAACAGAGGUGAUGGUACUCAGGUCACAGAACUGCUGGAGAAGAUAGAGGACUUGGUGGGAGGAAACAGAGGAGGACAUUAUGAGAUCAAGACAUAACAGAGGACAUAGGGGCAGGAAACAGAGGAGGACAUUAUGAGAUAAAGACAUAACAGAGGACAUAGGGGCAGGAAACAGAGGAGGACAUUAUGAGAUAAAGACAUAACAGAGGACAUAGGGGCAGGAAACAGAGGAGGACAUUAUGAGAUAAAGACAUAACAGAGGACAUAGGGGCAGGAAACAGAGGAGGACAUUAUGAGAUAAAGACAUAACAGAGGACAUAGGGGCAGGAAACAGAGGAGGACAUUAUGAGAUAAAGACAUAACAGAGGACAUAGGGGCAGGAAACAGAGGAGGGCAUUAUGAGAUAAAGACAUAACAGAGGACUUGGUGGGAGGAAACAGAGGAGGACAUUAUGAGAUAAAGACAUAACAGAGGACAUAGGGGCAGGAAACAGAGGAGGACAUUAUGAGAAAAAGAAAUAACAGAGGACACAGGGGCAGGAAACAGGAGGACAUUAUGAGAUAAAGACAUAACAGAGGACAUAGGGGCAGGAAACAGAGGAGGACAUUAUGAGAUAAAGACAUAACAGAGGACAUAGGGGCAGGAAACAGAGGAGGACAUUAUGAGAUAAAGACAUAACAUAGAGGUAGG